Molecule: ribosomal RNA, 254 nt
Filed under: uncultured bacterium
Lineage: Bacteria
Description: partial 16S ribosomal RNA
Rfam family: Bacterial small subunit ribosomal RNA
Source: RNAcentral
UACGUAGGGGGCAAGCGUUGUCCGGAUUUAUUGGGCGUAAAGAGCUCGUAGGUGGUUCGGUAAGUCGGGUGUUAAACCCCCAGGCUCAACCUGGGGACGCCACUCGAUACUGCUGUGACUAGAGUCCGGUAGGGGAGCGUGGAAUUCCUGGUGUAGCGGUGAAAUGCGCAGAUAUCAGGAGGAACACCUAUGGCGAAGGCAGCUCGCUGGGACGGUACUGACGCUGAGGCGCGAAAGCGUGGGGAGCGAACAGG